AUUUUUGUAUUUUGAACAACGUAGAGCCACCUCUGACAUAGAAUUGCACAUUCACUGCAAGCACUGGUAUGCUGAUAUAAACGGGAAGAUAUCAUAAGAACCAAUUUGAGGUCAGUAUUGUGAAGGUAUUUACGAGUUUGAACUUCAACGCCUCUACACCAUAAUAAACUUUUGGUGACUCAAACUUGUACUAUCUUAGCCGGUGAAGAGGUUUUAAUGAUACGAUUAAAAGGAAUGAUACAAUUUUCCUCAAUAUUGAUGUAUGCCCCUACGCUGAAAUGCAGUUUCCGCAAUGCAGGAUGAAAGAUAUAUUUUUCACUUACCCACAACUACACACAACAACUUAUAGGUUUAAUUAUGUAGAAAAUGUGGAGGAAGUUAGAGCUGAAUAAAUUAUAAGGAAGUA
This is a long non-coding RNA of Coccinella septempunctata (seven-spotted ladybird), 406 nucleotides long. RefSeq lists it as uncharacterized. The transcript has 2 exons. NCBI's taxonomy places the organism in Eukaryota, Metazoa, Arthropoda, Insecta, Coleoptera, Coccinellidae. The record is from RefSeq and is a predicted model, not a curated record.